AUGCUCGCAUCUUGCCAGCGCACCAAGGGCUUUCAAAUAGCCUCAAUUGCUGCAUCAAGUGCCUUAGCUAGUCGGCAACCAACUUCUUCAAUACCCAAGCUAAAGCAAAAAGCUAUUGCUGGCCAUGGAACUAGGCCAAGUCCCAAGAGCAAGGUUGUAGUGCCUCAGGUUGAUGAACAUGGGCUCGCACAUGAAGAUGAGCUCGCCGAAUUCCUCAAAAGAAAGCAAGAGAAAGCUGCAAUUGCAAAGAACUCUUAUGUUCCAUUGUUGCUGGACCCUAAGAAAUUGCUUGAUUUCAUUGACAUCUGGUGCACAAACCCAAAACGCCUCUUGACGAUCUCAAUUUACCACCUGGUCUAG
Molecule: ribosomal RNA, 360 nt
Filed under: Triticum aestivum (bread wheat)
Lineage: Eukaryota; Viridiplantae; Streptophyta; Magnoliopsida; Poales; Poaceae
Description: partial small subunit ribosomal RNA
Source: RNAcentral